Long non-coding RNA from Homo sapiens (human), 5538 nucleotides. RefSeq lists it as uncharacterized. NCBI's taxonomy places the organism in Eukaryota, Metazoa, Chordata, Mammalia, Primates, Hominidae. The transcript has 5 exons. The record is from RefSeq and is a predicted model, not a curated record.
CCCAUUCACCAGCAUUCAAAUUUCACCUUCUGACCAUCCAAGGCAGCUGGCUGCUGGCCCAGGAACUAAGAGCACUUUGAGAUCAUCCCUCUGACCACAGGCAACUGUGUGCUUGCAAGGAAUCUUCUUUCCUGAGCCGGUAAAUUCAAAAUGACCAGGGUGUUCACAGGGUACCAGGUUUGAGGGCCACUGACCCUUGAACCCCCAACCCUACCUACUGCCCUAUUCACCCAGGACCACAGCUUACACUCUGGAAAAGCCAAGAAAUGACAGCAGGCAAUGCACACGGAGGAAACAUUUCUGCACAGCAACUGCACAGGAGGACAGCCCAGGUUGUUAAACGCGUCUCCUGUGUAAAUGUUUCUGGAGCCCUGGUUUGCCUGCUUUCUUGGAUGGCACGAGGCUUGAGUUUGCAAAAUAAAAGUGAUGCCGGCUAUUAACUCUGUUCGAGAGUGAGGAAACUGAGAGAAAAAGGAAGUUGGGGCAGAAACCAGGAAUGGACAGAGCUCUCCUAACUCAGGCUUUCAGGUCUCAGCUUAAAUGUCAUUUCCCUUCUGGACCUGGCAGGGCAGAAGGUGCCAUCGAGGGAGUUGAUGUUUGCCAUGACAAGGACCAAAAGGUUCGGCAUCAGGAGCCCAAGAGCCAGGACAUCCACCAAAGGCUGUUGGUCAAGCUGUUCAGGUUUCCGGCCAGAUGAACCAACUCCACCUUCAACCAGGUUGUGCUGAAGACAUUGUUAAUGAGUCACAGAAACUGGCCACCUCUGUCUCUCUCCCAUAUGAUGGGGAAGAUGAAGCUUUCUGGCUGGAAGAACAAAACAGCUGUGGUUGUGGGGAUCAUAAUGGAUGUUGUGCCCGUGCUGGAGGUGCCCAAACUCAAGGUUCCACAUGACAACCAUUGGUGUCAGAGGCCAGUGCCUUGAUGAAUAUGUGUCUUCUCUUCUCUAGUUUACCAUGGGACAGAUAGCUACUGCACCAGUUUCAGGUCUUCUCACCAUCUUGGCCUCUUUCUGAAUAACUCCUCUUUUGCGAUGUCCCCUUACUGCUCAGGCCAUCCUAGGGAUGAAGAAAGUACUGGGCCAAAGAGAUCCAUGGGCAUCCGUGUAGGGAGUGCCAAGAAAUUAGGAUUAUCCUGCCUCGGCGCCCAGCCAAGGUUAACAAGCUUUAUGGUCUGUUCGGCAAACCUGAGGGGACCCGGUCCUCCAUUGUGGGAUGGGAGUUGAAGGAAACAGUGUUCAGGUCUGGCCCAAGCCAAAACCCAUCUAUUGCAACCUACCAUUUCUUUUCUGCCUACUUCUUCUAUUUACUUUUUCUGUUGUUGUUGAGACCAGGUCUUGCUCUGUUGUCCAGGCUGGAGUGCAGUGGCACAAUUAUAGCUCACUGCAGCCUCAAUCUCCUGGGUUCAAGUGAUCCUCCUGCCUCAGCCUCCCGAGUAGCUUGGGACCACAGGCACAUGCCACCACACCCAGCUAAUUUAUUUUCUUUUUGUAGAGACAGGGUCUUGCUAUGUUACCCGGGCUGGUCUGGAGCUCCUGGGCUCAAGCGAUCCUCCUGCCUUGGCCUCCCAAAGUGUUGGGAUUACAGGUGUGAGCCACUGUGUCUGGGCACCUUCUUUUUUUUUUUUUUUUUCUUUUAAAGAAGGCUAUUAAGUGUCCAGUGCCUGGAAAGUUCCUUUCUUUCCUGAAUUAAUAUACCAAAUUAGUUCCUGCUAAAGUGUUAAUGACUAACCCCAGUUUCACUUCUUGUCAGCAAUCUGCCCUCCUCCAUAAAGGGUUGAAUAAAUAGGACUUUUAGACAUAAGUGACCGAGUCUGUGAGGGAGUAAAUUUUGAGCAGGGGGAGCUCUCACGCAGGGCUCUCCAAUUUACACUGCGGAGGUAGCUUCCUUUUCCACCUCUGCAAUAAGCCAACCAACCCUACAAAUAUCUGGUAGAAAGAAGGGCUGUUCCAGUGAAGAGUCAAUUAGUAUGAAGACCGCCAUCUACUGGCAGAUGAUAUCUACUGGCCCCAUUGGUGCGCUAGAUAAGUUUUGUCAUUGCAGGGGGUUUCCCGAUUGGGUUGCUUGAAUGCUGAGAACCAGUCCUCUCCCCCAUUCCUUUUGCCUAAUUUCCCUUUUACAUUAUUGCUUUGUUACUUUGAUUCCUCAACAUAUACAGUAUUUCACAGAGCCUUUAUGCUACAGGGGAUCUUUGGAGGGUAUAACUGUUGUGUGUCAUUAACACUUUAGUAUAAAUUAACUCAAUUGACUACCACUAGUCCAGAAGUUGAGAAAUUCCAGUUUGUCCCCUUUUUUCUCCCUUUCUUCCUCUCUUUCUCCUAUCACUGAAUAUAGAAGUCAGGCUCAAAAACACAUCUUAGCUCUGGAGAGGAAAGGACUUCAGGACAUUUUCAUUUACCAGAAGACAGCUGUGGAAGUUUUAAAACGGUAUCAGCACACUGGCCUUCCUUACUCCAUCAAAUCUCAUGUGUGCCCUUCUCGGAGUCUCUAAAACAAAUGCAACUCCAGGAAGUCUCCCUAGUCUCUGAGAUCCCGUAUUUCCAGUUCCUUCACCCCUCUAGCUGUCUGCCCCAUCUUUUUUAACAAGAAGCGUAAAUAUCUCCACUGUAUUCUUAUGCACAUUUCAUGUGUGGUGCGUCUGUUUCAUGUGUGGUCUGUCUGGCCUCUUGUCAUGGGCUGUUUACUUCCUGGAGGCACUUUGGUUUUUCUUUCUCAGUAUUUCACCAUUGCACUAAGUCUAAGUUGUGGCACUGAUCACGGUAUGUGCUGCCUGCACAUUGUGAGAUGUUCCGUGGUCAGGGUUCGAGCAGUGGGGAAAUGGUGGCUCGGAAGGUCUUGGUGAAGCUCAUAACAUGUUCUAUGUCUCUACACACCUAUUUAUAGGUGUGGUUUGCAAGGAGGGGGUAUUAGAACCACCGUUUACAACCUGGAGUGUGAGUGUCCCUGAAGAGACAGGAAGACUUCCCAGGGGGUAUUUGGGCAUGAAUUGUUUCAAGGCACUCCAUUUCCAGAUGCUGAAUGCCGUAUCUGCCCUUCCCUGAACUGAUCUAGCAGACAGUGCACCUGCAGCUGGGGGGUCGGGCUGGUUCUCUGGUCCUGCCUGCCCUUUCUCAAUAGCGCUUUUCCCACUUUACAAAAGGAAAAAAUUCUGUUAACUCUCUCUCAUCCCAAAUCUUACUUACUAUGGUGCAUUAGGCCAAGUGUACAAACUUCCAUGGCAUCCAAAAAAGGACAACUGAAAAUAUUAAUGAAGGCAACAUAAAUCUCUAAGGUUUUGUGUCUCUCUCUGUCUUAUACAUACGUCUGUGACGGGCAAAGCAUGGAAUUAGACACAGGGCAAGAUAGGUUGUGUGGUAAGGCAAAAAUAUGAUACCAAUAUUUGUCUAAUGAGUCCCCUCAUCCUUCCCCCAAGGAUUAUCAAAGAACAUAUUGCCAUCAUGCAAAUCUCAUGAAAAUAAAAUAAGGUUAGUGAAGGUAGGAAGUAUUGAGGGUGGUGGCACAUUAUUUCAUCCCGGUGAUAAAUUCAUGGUACAGCUUCAUGCUCUAUCAAUAUCUAUCUAUCUAUCUGUCUGUCUGUCUAUCUAUCUAUCAUCUAUCUAUCUAUCUAAUCUAGUAUGUCUACUAUCUUAGAAUUAGAAUGCAGAAUGUUUGUCUUGGGGACAUAUAUUAACUCAUUGAUUUGGCUUGAAAAAUGAAAACUGGACGAGCACGGUGACUUAUGCCUGUAAUCCCAGCAUUUUGGGGGGCCGAGGCGGGCAGAUCAUGAGGUCAAGAGAUGAAGACCAUCCUGGCCAACAUGGUGAAACCCUGUCUCUACUAAAAAUACAAAAAUUAGCUGGAUGUGAUUGCUUAUGCCUGUAGUCCCAGCUACUCAGGAGGUUGAGGCAGAAGACUCACUUGAACCUGGGAGGCAGAGGUUGCAGUGAGCCGAGAUAGUGCCAUUGCACUCCAGCCUGGCAACAGAGAGAGACUCCGUCUCAAAAAAAAAGAAAAGAAAAAAAAAAUGAAAACUAAGUGUUUUGGUGGGGGACAAAGAAUAAGUCUACUCUGGGUGAUUAAUUUUAUGACCCACUUCAACAAUUACCUUAAAGUGCCAUAAACUGAAUGUGCUAAAUUUUCAGCUCUUAAAAUUUCCACAAUAAAAAUAAAGUAUAUGAUAAUAUAAAAUCAAUGUACAAAAAAGUUUUGGUAAACUUAUAUUGAAAUGAAAGAUAUUUCAAUUUCUCCAACCCUUUUUAAGUAUAUCAAAUUAGAAGGUGUCUUUAUGAGAAAGAAUAACAAGCAUAAUUAACAAUCAUUUAAUAAGUCUUGAUAAAGUAUUUUAGGUGAUUUCCCAGAAAAAGAGGACUUAAUGACCACAAAGACUAGGUAAUAAAUAUUUGCAAGUCAGAUGUUUUCCAAUUCUUUGCUUUCAACAAUAUCAGAAGAGGACCUAAUGGAGUUGUCAGCUGAUAGAUUAUUAAAAAUAAUUCUUGAUGAUAGAGCAGUAUGUUAUUUUUGGCUUAGAACUUGGAAAGAGUUCAGAGAGCCAAAUCAUAUUGCUAUAAUAAAACUCCAUCCAAACUUAUUUACGUGAACAAGGUUUCCCAGCAUUACUUCUAUAAAAAUGAAAAGUAUGAAUAGAAUGGAUGCUAUUCCUUGUCUAACUCUAAUAACAAGUAAUGUCAUGCAUGAGUGCAUGAAUUAAUUAAAGAUAAAAGCCUUAUUCGGCUGGGCGCGGUGGCCCGUGCCUGUAAUGCCAGCACUUUGGGAGGCCGAGGCAGGCGGAUCACAAGGUCAGGAGCUCGAGGCCAUCCUGGCUAACACGGUGAAAACCUGUCUCUACUAAAAAUACAAAAAAUUAGCCGGGUGUGGUGGCGGGCGCCUGUAGUCCCAGCCACUCGGGAGGCUGAGGCAGGAGAAUGGCGUGAACCUGGGAGGUGGAGAUUGCAGUGAGUCGAGAUCACGCCACUCCCCUCCAGCCUGGGCGACAGAACGAGACUCCGUCUCAAUAAAUAAAUAAAUAAAUAAGUAAGCCUUAUUCAUUUCAUUAAAAGAUAUGAGGCGGGCGGAUCACCUGAGAUCGAGAGUUCAAGACCAGCCUGACCAACAUGGAGAAACCCUGUCUCUACUAAAAAUACAAAAUUAGCCAGGCUUGGUGGUGCACGCCUGUAAUCCCAGCUACUCCAGAGGCUGAGGCAGGAGAAUCGCUUGAACCCGGGAGGGGGGUGUUGCGGUGAGCAGAGAUCGCACCAUUGCACUCCAGCCUGGGCAACAAAGAGUGAAACUCCGUCUCAAAUAAAAUAAAAGAGAUACAUUACUAUUUUUUUUUUUUUUUUUGAGACAGGGUCUUGCACUGUUGGGCAAACCAGGAUAUUGAUAUUGAUACAGUCAAGAUACAAAACAUUUCUAUCACCACCAGAAUUCCUGAAGUUGGCUUCUUAUAAUCACAACUACUUUCCUCUCAGUCUCUCAAACUUAAUCUCUGGCAACCAUUCAUUUCAUCUCCAUUUCUAUGAUUUUGUCAUUUCAAGAAUGUUAAAUAAAUGGACUCAUACAUAUA